RNAcentral lists this ribosomal RNA (198 nucleotides) under uncultured bacterium. RNAcentral's name for it is "partial 16S ribosomal RNA". It matches the Rfam family "Bacterial small subunit ribosomal RNA", at positions 328 to 539 of the family's 1533-position model. The record is from RNAcentral.
ACGCUCGACACCUACGGGAGGUAGCAGUGGGGAAUAUUGCACAAUGGGGGAAACCCUGAUGCAGCGACGCCGCGUGGAGGAAGAAGGUCUUCGGAUUGUAAACUCCUGUUGUUGGGGAAAAAGAGGAUGGUACCCAACAAGGAAGUGACGGCUAACUACGUGCCAGGAGCCGCGGUAAUCUGAGCGGGCUGGCAAGGC